This 115-nucleotide ribosomal RNA is filed under the name uncultured eukaryote. RNAcentral describes it as "partial small subunit ribosomal RNA". It matches the Rfam family "Bacterial small subunit ribosomal RNA", at positions 1411 to 1525 of the family's 1533-position model. The record is from RNAcentral.
UUGGCUUUACCCGAAGCCGGUGCGCUAACCGCAAGGAGGCAGCCAACCACGGUAGGCUCAGCGACUGGGGUGAAGUCGUAACAAGGUAGCCGUAGGUGAACCUGCAGAAGGAUCA